UGGGGAAUUUUGGACAAUGGGCGAAAGCCUGAUCCAGCAAUGCCGCGUGAGUGAAGAAGGCCUUCGGGUUGUAAAGCUCUUUUGUCAGGGAAGAAACGGUGAAAGCUAAUAUCUUUUGCUAAUGACGGUACCUGAAGAAUAAGCACCGGCUAACUACGUGCCAGCAGCAGCGGUAAUACGGAGGGUGCAAGCGUUAAUCGGAAUUACUGGGCGUAAAGCGCACGCAGGCGGUUUGUUAAGUCAGAUGUGAAAUCCCGCGCUUAACGUGGGAACUGCAUUUGAAACUGGCAAGCUAGAGUCUUGUAGAGGGGGUUAGAAUUCCAGGUGUAGCGGUGAAAUGCGUAGAGAUCUGGAGGAAUACCGGUGGCGAAGGCGGCCCCCUGGACAAAGACUGACGCU
Molecule: ribosomal RNA, 399 nt
Filed under: uncultured bacterium
Lineage: Bacteria
Description: bacterial SSU rRNA
Rfam family: Bacterial small subunit ribosomal RNA
Source: RNAcentral